This 26-nucleotide transfer RNA is filed under the name Paragenipa lancifolia. RNAcentral describes it as "partial tRNA-Leu". Lineage: Eukaryota; Viridiplantae; Streptophyta; Magnoliopsida; Gentianales; Rubiaceae. The record is from RNAcentral.
GGGGAUAUGGCGAAAUCGGUAGACGC